AGAGUUUGAUCCUGGCUCNGGAUAAACGCUAGCGGCAGGCCUAACACAUGCAAGUCGAGGGGCAGCGGGUGGAGUAUUUCGGUACUCCUGCCGGCGACCGGCGCACGGGUGCGUAACGCGUAUGCAACCUACCUUUAACAGGGGGAUAAUCCGAAGAAAUUUGGUCUAAUACCCCAUAAUAUCAUUUAAGGCAUCUUAGAUGGUUGAAAAUUCCGAUGGUUAGAGAUGGGCAUGCGUUGUAUUAGCUAGUUGGUGAGGUAACGGCUCACCAAGGCUACGAUACAGUAGGGGACUGAGACGGUUUUCCCCCACACUGGUACUGAGACACGGACCAGACUCCUACGGGAGGCAGCA
This 354-nucleotide ribosomal RNA is filed under the name uncultured bacterium. Its description in RNAcentral is "bacterial SSU rRNA". It matches the Rfam family "Bacterial small subunit ribosomal RNA", at positions 8 to 353 of the family's 1533-position model. The record is from RNAcentral.